GUGUCAGCAGCCGCGGUAAUACGGAGGGUGCAAGCGUUAUCCGGAUUCACUGGGUUUAAAGGGUGCGUAGGUGGGUAGGUAAGUCAGUGGUGAAAUCCCCGAGCUUAACUUGGGAACUGCCGUUGAUACUAUCUAUCUUGAAUAUCGAGUAGGUAAGCGGAAUAUGUCAUGUAGCGGUGAAAUGCUUAGAUAUGACAUAGAACACCAAUUGCGAAGGCAGCUUACUUCAAGAUUAUUGACACUGAGGCACGAAAGCGUGGGGAUCAAACAGGAUUAGAAACCCUAGUAGUCC
This 292-nucleotide ribosomal RNA is filed under the name uncultured bacterium. Its description in RNAcentral is "partial 16S ribosomal RNA". It matches the Rfam family "Bacterial small subunit ribosomal RNA", at positions 505 to 796 of the family's 1533-position model. The record is from RNAcentral.